AAUGGGUCAGCGACUUAUAUUCUGUAGCAAGGUUAACCGAAUAGGGGAGCCGAAGGGAAACCGAGUCUUAACUGGGCGUUAAGUUGCAGGGUAUAGACCCGAAACCCGGUGAUCUAGCCAUGGGCAGGUUGAAGGUUGGGUAACACUAACUGGAGGACCGAACCGACUAAUGUUGAAAAAUUAGCGGAUGACUUGUGGCUGGGGGUGAAAGGCCAAUCAAACCGGGAGAUAGCUGGUUCUCCCCGAAAGCUAUUUAGGUAGCGCCUCGUGAAUUCAUCUCCGGGGGUAGAGCACUGUUUCGGCAAGGGGGUCAUCCCGACUUACCAACCCGAUGCAAACUGCGAAUACCGGAGAAUGUUAUCACGGGAGACACACGGCGGGUGCUAACGUCCGUCGUGAAGAGGGAAACAACCCAGACCGCCAGCUAAGGUCCCAAAGUCAUGGUUAAGUGGGAAACGAUGUGGGAAGGCCCAGACAGCCAGGAUGUUGGCUUAGAAGCAGCCAUCAUUUAAAGAAAGCGUAAUAGCUCACUGGUCGAGUCGGCCUGCGCGGAAGAUGUAACGGGGCUAAACCAUGCACCGAAGCUGCGGCAGCGACGCUUAUGCGUUGUUGGGUAGGGGAGCGUUCUGUAAGCCUGUGAAGGUGUGCUGUGAGGCAUGCUGGAGGUAUCAGAAGUGCGAAUGCUGACAUAAGUAACGAUAAAGCGGGUGAAAAGCCCGCUCGCCGGAAGACCAAGGGUUCCUGUCCAACGUUAAUCGGGGCAGGGUGAGUCGACCCCUAAGGCGAGGCCGAAAGGCGUAGUCGAUGGGAAACAGGUUAAUAUUCCUGUACUUGGUGUUACUGCGAAGGGGGGACGGAGAAGGCUAUGUUGGCCGGGCGACGGUUGUCCCGGUUUAAGCGUGUAGGCUGGUUUUCCAGGCAAAUCCGGAAAAUCAAGGCUGAGGCGUGAUGACGAGGCACUACGGUGCUGAAGCAACAAAUGCCCUGCUUCCAGGAAAAGCCUCUAAGCAUCAGGUAACAUCAAAUCGUACCCCAAACCGACACAGGUGGUCAGGUAGAGAAUACCAAGGCGCUUGAGAGAACUCGGGUGAAGGAACUAGGCAAAAUGGUGCCGUAACUUCGGGAGAAGGCACGCUGAUAUGUAGGUGAAGUCCCUCGCGGAUGGAGCUGAAAUCAGUCGAAGAUACCAGCUGGCUGCAACUGUUUAUUAAAAACACAGCACUGUGCAAACACGAAAGUGGACGUAUACGGUGUGACGCCUGCCCGGUGCCGGAAGGUUAAUUGAUGGGGUCAGCGCAAGCGAAGCUCUUGAUCGAAGCCCCGGUAAACGGCGGCCGUAACUAUAACGGUCCUAAGGUAGCGAAAUUCCUUGUCGGGUAAGUUCCGACCUGCACGAAUGGCGUAAUGAUGGCCAGGCUGUCUCCACCCGAGACUCAGUGAAAUUGAACUCGCUGUGAAGAUGCAGUGUACCCGCGGCAAGACGGAAAGACCCCGUGAACCUUUACUAUAGCUUGACACUGAACAUUGAGCCUUGAUGUGUAGGAUAGGUGGGAGGCUUAGAAGUGUGGACGCCAGUCUGCAUGGAGCCGACCUUGAAAUACCACCCUUUAAUGUUUGAUGUUCUAACGUUGACCCGUAAUCCGGGUUGCGGACAGUGUCUGGUGGGUAGUUUGACUGGGGCGGUCUCCUCCUAAAGAGUAACGGAGGAGCACGAAGGUUGGCUAAUCCUGGUCGGACAUCAGGAGGUUAGUGCAAUGGCAUAAGCCAGCUUGACUGCGAGCGUGACGGCGCGAGCAGGUGCGAAAGCAGGUCAUAGUGAUCCGGUGGUUCUGAAUGGAAGGGCCAUCGCUCAACGGAUAAAAGGUACUCCGGGGAUAACAGGCUGAUACCGCCCAAGAGUUCAUAUCGACGGCGGUGUUUGGCACCUCGAUGUCGGCUCAUCACAUCCUGGGGCUGAAGUAGGUCCCAAGGGUAUGGCUGUUCGCCAUUUAAAGUGGUACGCGAGCUGGGUUUAGAACGUCGUGAGACAGUUCGGUCCCUAUCUGCCGUGGGCGCUGGAGAACUGAGGGGGGCUGCUCCUAGUACGAGAGGACCGGAGUGGACGCAUCACUGGUGUUCGGGUUGUCAUGCCAAUGGCACUGCCCGGUAGCUAAAUGCGGAAGAGAUAAGUGCUGAAAGCAUCUAAGCACGAAACUUGCCCCGAGAUGAGUUCUCCCUGACUCCUUGAG
This 2228-nucleotide ribosomal RNA is filed under the name Escherichia coli. RNAcentral describes it as "partial 23S ribosomal RNA". It matches the Rfam family "Bacterial large subunit ribosomal RNA", at positions 614 to 2825 of the family's 2925-position model. The record is from RNAcentral. Lineage: Bacteria; Pseudomonadati; Pseudomonadota; Gammaproteobacteria; Enterobacterales; Enterobacteriaceae.